RNAcentral lists this ribosomal RNA (860 nucleotides) under Alteromonadales bacterium. Its description in RNAcentral is "bacterial SSU rRNA". It matches the Rfam family "Bacterial small subunit ribosomal RNA", at positions 625 to 1484 of the family's 1533-position model. Lineage: Bacteria; Pseudomonadati; Pseudomonadota; Gammaproteobacteria; Alteromonadales. The record is from RNAcentral.
CAUUGAAACUGGUUGACUAGAGUUUUGUAGAGGGUGGUAGAAUUUCAGGUGUAGCGGUGAAAUGCGUAGAGAUCUGAAGGAAUACCAGUGGCGAAGGCGGCCACCUGGACAGAGACUGACACUGAGGCGCGAAGGCGUGGGGAGCAAACGGGAUUAGAUACCCCGGUAGUCCACGCAGUAAACGAUGUCUAUUAGAAGUUUGUGGCUAUAUGCCGUGGGUUUCAAAGCUAACGCAUUAAAUAGACCGCCUGGGGAGUACGGCCGCAAGGUUAAAACUCAAAUGAAUUGACGGGGGCCCGCACAAGCGGUGGAGCAUGUGGUUUAAUUCGACGCAACGCGAAGAACCUUACCAUCCCUUGACAUCCAGAGAAUCACCUAGAGAUAGAUGAGUGCCUUCGGGAACUCUGAGACAGGUGCUGCAUGGCUGUCGUCAGCUCGUGUUGUGAAAUGUUGGGUUAAGUCCCGCAACGAGCGCAACCCUUAUCCUUAGUUGCCAGCACGUAAUGGUGGGAACUCUAGGGAGACUGCCGGUGAUAAACCGGAGGAAGGUGGGGACGACGUCAAGUCAUCAUGGCCCUUACGGGAUGGGCUACACACGUGCUACAAUGGCAAAUACAAAGGGUUGCUAACCUGCGAGGGUAUGCGAAUCUCAUAAAGUUUGUCGUAGUCCGGAUCGGAGUCUGCAACUCGACUCCGUGAAGUUGGAAUCGCUAGUAAUCGUGGAUCAGAAUGCCACGGUGAAUACGUUCCCGGGCCUUGUACACACCGCCCGUCACACCAUGGGAGUGGGCUGCACCAGAAGUCAUUAGCUUAACCUUCGGGAUGGCGAUGACCACGGUGUGGUUCAUGACUGGGGUGAA